Molecule: long non-coding RNA, 832 nt
Organism: Daphnia carinata
Lineage: Eukaryota; Metazoa; Arthropoda; Branchiopoda; Diplostraca; Daphniidae
Exons: 4
Source: RefSeq, a predicted model, not a curated record
AGGUACACAGUGAGAUUUGCUUAACAAUUAUGUUUAUUUAAUUUAUUUUAAAAUUAAUUUUAAAAUCCUUUUUGUGCAAAUUCAUUUUUGAAAUUGUUUACUUCUUUUUCGAAUGGUUCCGUUCACAUUUGUUGUUCAUGUGAGAUGUUAUAUUUACCGGUUACUGCAUUAUAUUUACCACAAUUGCAAGAUGUUUGUUUAGGAAUUACUACUGGUUUGUUUAUCUGGAAUGUUGUGUGGGAGUCCAUCAGGAAUUGCUGGUCUGCAGUAAAUUUGUCAGGCUAGGUGAUGAACAUCAAUGAAUCAGAAAAUGUUUUGCAUGGGUGGUGAAUGUUCUGACAGUUUUAACAGUUGUGAUGUGGUGUAUUUCACUUCCACGCAUCAUGUAGAAGUUGGUGACCUGAUUCAAUGAACAUGGAAAAAUCACCUUCGCCCACGUUGACGAUGAUACCUGUACCGAAGUGCUGGAAACUAAAAUUAAAUUUUCUUUACAAUUUGGUUUCAGGCUAUCUUUAUAAUUUUUUAAUAGUUUUGCAUUUAUUGAUGAGUCCGCAAGCUCUUAGCUGAUUUCCUCCUUUAGAUACCGCCUGUCGACGAUUUGACAGCCUCACACAAUUAAAGAACGUAUGCCAAGAAGCCAAAGUGAGCUCUUCCGGGCAGAAAAAUGACGGCGUAUCUAUUUAAUUGAAAAUAGGCGCAAGAUAACGCACAAUUGGCGUCCUUGUCUCAAUGGAGAAAUUUUGCCGUGGAACUUAUAACCGAAAUACCAUUGCAGCUGUUCAAAAAAAGAAAAGUGUAUUAUCAUACCGAUGUUGACUAGCUAACAAUCCAG